CCCUACGGGAGGCAGCAGUAGGGAAUCUUCCACAAUGGACGAAAGUCUGAUGGAGCAACGCCGCGUGAGUGAAGAAGGUCUUCGGAUCGUAAAACCCUGUUGUUAGAGAAGAAAGUGCGUGAGAGUAACUGCUCACGUUUCGACGGUAUCUAACCAGAAAGCCACGGCUAACUACGUGCCAGCAGCCGCGGUAAUACGUAGGUGGCAAGCGUUAUCCGGAUUUAUUGGGCGUAAAGGGAACGCAGGCGGUCUUUUAAGUCUGAUGUGAAAGCCUUCGGCUUAACCGGAGUAGUGCAUUGGAAACU
This 305-nucleotide ribosomal RNA is filed under the name uncultured bacterium. RNAcentral's name for it is "bacterial SSU rRNA". It matches the Rfam family "Bacterial small subunit ribosomal RNA", at positions 337 to 634 of the family's 1533-position model. The record is from RNAcentral.